AAACUAAACUCAUCCAAACAAAACCCACUCAGGAGAUUCAGAUUGCACAUUAACUGGUCCAAAAUUUGAUCUGCUAUGUGAUAGAAUCAGCAUCUAAGAACUGACCCCCUCCUCUGUGUCUUUCUCUCCUGAGAAGAGCUUUUUAAACAGUGGAUAGUUCUUUGAUCUCCUGGCUUCUUGUAGUUAAUCACACCAAGGUUAUUCAGCAACUUCACCUCCCUAACCAGUUUGCAUCUCAGGAAACAUGCUGAGCUCUCAGCCUUCAUCCCCAUCAAUCAUGCAAGAAUCACCUACUUACAGCAGACAGGGAGUAGAUGAGGACCUUCAUCUCCCAAAAAGGAUCUAACUUUAUGAAUGGAAUGCUACAUCUCAUGUUUUUGGCAUUAAGGGAAAUGCUAAAUGUUUUCAGCCUCAAGCUUUGUUAUCCCAAAGUUGUUUGCAAACCAGCAAAAUGCGAUCUCUUGGAAAAAAAGUUGUAAAUUGUAGGAUAGGAGAAACAGAGAUAGAAAUGUGUGAGCUAGCUCAAAUCUAAGAGUAACAAAUGGGGACAUACUGGCAUCUUUAGGUACUCUAAAUACCUUUACAACAGCAUCCAAAUUGCCACAGAAAUUAUGUAUAUGCAUAUAAGGGUUAAGUCAAACAGUGGUUAUAUUGCAGAACCAUUUUUUCAGGGAAUUUUAACCUAGGUGUGGAGGACGUAAAUUCUGUUCAAAGUUACUAUUUGAUAACCACAAUGAAUCAGAUUUUUGAAAAAUUGACUGAAAUAUACUCAACUUUUUUUCAGUACUGCAUAGAAAUAUGCUUGUCCAUACUAUGUAGACGGUAUGAACAGAACUACUGCUGUAUAUUAUGAGUGCUCCCAUCUUUCCCUUUCAUUUACAUUUCCACUUCCCUUUUCUUUUCUCUCACCUUUUCUCUUUGUUUUCCUUUCCCUUCCCUUCCCCCUUUCCCCUUCCCUCUCCCUUUUCCUUUCCCUCUCCUUUUCCCUUUCACUUUCUCUUUCCCGUUCUGUUUUCCUUUUCCUUUCCUUUUCUCUUUCCCUUUCGUUUUCCCUGUUGUAGUCUUUCAUACAGUUCCAUAGGCCCUUAUUUGCACUUUUAGACUUCAAAAUAGCUCACGUUGCAUCAGCAGAGAUUUAGACUGGAUAUUAGAAUGUCCUUGGAGGUAUUCAAGAAACACAUGGACGUGGCACCAAGGGACGUGGUUUGGUGACAUGUCAGAUUGAUAGUUGGAGUUGAUGAUCUUGAAGCUCUUUUCCAACCUACAUGAUUCUAUGAUUCAGUUCAAUACCCCAAACGCAUGUGAGUUUCUUCAUUUUUAUCUCAACUACUUUCUACUUAAUUGUCUACAGGAAAGUAAUUCACAAAAUAAUUGUGCAUUUGAUUUGGGGAAAGGGAAAAAACUUGCAUACUUGUUUUCAUACUCCAUUAAAAUAAUAAUAAAUUAAUGAACGGAUGUUCUUUUUUUGUUUUGUUUCCAAAUAAAGACUGGUGAUACUG
RNAcentral lists this long non-coding RNA (1499 nucleotides) under Gallus gallus (chicken). Its description in RNAcentral is "lncRNA (ENSGALG00010003908.1)". Lineage: Eukaryota; Metazoa; Chordata; Aves; Galliformes; Phasianidae. The record is from RNAcentral.